GUUGUAUAGUCAAGUAAUUAAGUGCAUGUGGUGGAUGCCUUGGCAGUCAGAGGCGAUGAAAGACGUGAUAGCCUGCGAAAAGCUCCGGGGAGGCGGCAAAUAUCCUUUGAUCCGGAGAUGUCUGAAUGGGGGAACCCACCUACUUUAAGGUAGGUAUUGCAACAUGAAUACAUAGUGUUGCAAGGCGAACGAGGGGAAGUGAAACAUCUCAGUACCCUUAGGAAAAGAAAUCAAUUGAGAUUCCCUCAGUAGCGGCGAGCGAACGGGGAUCAGCCCAUUAAGUUAUGUGUGUUUUAGUGGAACGCUCUGGGAAGUGCGAACGUAGAGGGUGAUAUUCCCGUACACGAAAGGGCACACAUAAUGAUGACGAGUAGGGCGAGGCACGUGAAACCUUGUCUGAAUAUGGGGGGACCAUCCUCCAAGGCUAAAUACUCCUGACUGACCGAUAGUGAACCAGUACCGUGAGGGAAAGGCGAAAAGAACCCCUGUGAGGGGAGUGAAAUAGAUCCUGAAACCGCAUGCAUACAAGCAGUGGGAGCACCUUCGUGGUGUGACUGCGUACCUUUUGUAUAAUGGGUCAGCGACUUAUAUUCAGUAGCGAGGUUAACCGUAUAGGGGAGCCGUAGAGAAAUCGAGUCUUAAUAGGGCGUUUAGUUGCUGGGUAUAGACCCGAAACCAGGCGAUCUAUCCAUGAGCAGGUUGAAGGUUGGGUAACACUAACUGGAGGACCGAACCCACUGUCGUUGAAAAGCCAGGGGAUGACUUGUGGAUAGGGGUGAAAGGCUAAUCAAGCCUGGUGAUAGCUGGUUCUCCCCGAAAGCUAUUUAGGUAGCGCCUCGGACGAAUACCAUAGGGGGUAGAGCACUGUUUCGGCUAGGGGGUCAUCCCGACUUACCAAACCGAUGCAAACUCCGAAUACCUAUGAGUACUAUCCGGGAGACAGACUGCGGGUGCUAACGUCCGUAGUCAAGAGGAAAACAAUCCAGACCGCCAGCUAAGGCCCCAAAAUCAUAGUUAAGUGGGAAACGAUGUGGGAAGGCAUAGACAGCUAGGAGGUUGGCUUANNNNNNNNNNNNNNNNNNNNNNNNNNGAAGCAGCCACCCUUUAAAGAAAGCGUAAUAGCUCACUAGUCGAGUCGGCCUGCGCGGAAGAUGUAACGGGGCUAAAACUAUGUGCCGAAGCUGCGGAUUUGACAUUAGUCAAGUGGUAGGGGAGCGUUCUGUAAGCCGAUGAAGGUGUAUUGAGAAGUNNNNNNNAUGCUGGAGGUAUCAGAAGUGCGAAUGCUGACGUGAGUAACGACAAAACGGGUGAAAAACCCGUUCGCCGAAAGACCAAGGGUUCCAGUCCAACGUUAAUCGGGGCUGGGUGAGUCGACCCCUAAGGCGAGGCCGAAAGGCGUAGUCGAUGGGAAAAUGGUUAAUAUUCCAUUACUUCUGUGUAAUGCGAUGAGAGGACGGAGAAGGCUAAAUCAGCCUGGCGUUGGUUGUCCAGGUGAAAGGAUGUAGGCAUGUAUCUUAGGCAAAUCCGGGGUACUCUAUGCUGAGAUCUGAUAGCAAGCUGUACUUGUACAGCGAAGUGGUUGAUGCCAUGCUUCCAGGAAAAGUCUCUAAGCUUCAGUUACACAGGAAUCGUACCCGAAACCGACACAGGUGGUCAGGUCGAGUAGACCAAGGCGCUUGAGAGAACUCUGCUGAAGGAACUAGGCAAAAUGGUACCGUAACUUCGGGAGAAGGUACGCUGUUGUUGGUGAUGGAACUCGCUUCCUGAGCUGACGACAGCCGCAGAAACCAGGCCGCUGCAACUGUUUAUUAAAAACAUAGCACUCUGCAAACACGAAAGUGGACGUAUAGGGUGUGAUGCCUGCCCGGUGCUGGAAGGUUAAUUGAUGGGGUUAGCGUAAGCGAAGCUCUUGAUCGAAGCCCCAGUAAACGGCGGCCGUAACUAUAACGGUCCUAAGGUAGCGAAAUUCCUUGUCGGGUAAGUUCCGACCUGCACGAAUGGCAUAAUGAUGGCGGCGCUGUCUCCAGCAGAGGCUCAGUGAAAUCGAAAUCGCUGUGAAGAUGCAGUGUACCCGCGGCUAGACGGAAAGACCCCGUGAACCUUUACUGCAGCUUGACACUGAACUUUGACCUUACUUGUGUAGGAUAGGUGGGAGGCUUUGAAGCUGGAACGCUAGUUCCAGUGGAGCCGUCCUUGAAAUACCACCCUGGUAAUGUUGAGGUUCUAACUCUGUCCCGUGAUCCGGGACGAGGACCGUGUCUGGUGGGUAGUUUGACUGGGGCGGUCUCCUCCUAAAGAGUAACGGAGGAGUACGAAGGUGCGCUCAGCGUGGUCGGAAAUCACGCGUAGAGUAUAAAGGCAAAAGCGCGCUUAACUGCGAGACCCACAAGUCGAGCAGGUACGAAAGUAGGUCUUAGUGAUCCGGUGGUUCUGUAUGGAAGGGCCAUCGCUCAACGGAUAAAAGGUACUCUGGGGAUAACAGGCUGAUACCGCCCAAGAGUUCAUAUCGACGGCGGUGUUUGGCACCUCGAUGUCGGCUCAUCUCAUCCUGGGGCUGAAGCAGGUCCCAAGGGUAUGGCUGUUCGCCAUUUAAAGAGGUACGCGAGCUGGGUUUAGAACGUCGUGAGACAGUUCGGUCCCUAUCUACCGUGGGCGCUGGAAAUUUGAGAGGAUCUGCUCCUAGUACGAGAGGACCAGAGUGGACGAACCUCUGGUGUACCGGUUGUGACGCCAGUCGCAUCGCCGGGUAGCUAUGUUCGGAAGGGAUAACCGCUGAAAGCAUCUAAGCGGGAAGCCUACCUCAAGAUAAGAUUUCCCUAGGACUUUAUGUCCUCUAAAGAGCCGUUCGAGACUAGGACGUUGAUAGGUUGGAUGUGGAAGCAUAGUGAUAUGUGAAGCUGACCAAUACUAAUUGCUCGUGAGGCUUGACUAUACAACACCCAAGCAGUUG
Molecule: ribosomal RNA, 2950 nt
Filed under: Acinetobacter baumannii
Lineage: Bacteria; Pseudomonadati; Pseudomonadota; Gammaproteobacteria; Moraxellales; Moraxellaceae
Description: bacterial LSU rRNA
Rfam family: Bacterial large subunit ribosomal RNA
Source: RNAcentral